GCCUCGUUGGUCUAGCGGUAUGAUUCUCGCUUAGGGUGUACCCUAAAGCUUCUGUUUGCGAGAGGUCCCGGGUUCAAUCCCCGGAUGAGGCC
This is a non-coding RNA of Xylariomycetidae sp. FL2044, 92 nucleotides long. The record is from the annotation of a GenBank genome assembly. NCBI's taxonomy places the organism in Eukaryota, Fungi, Ascomycota, Sordariomycetes.